Molecule: unclassified non-coding RNA, 351 nt
Filed under: soil metagenome
Description: partial contains 5.8S ribosomal RNA, internal transcribed spacer 2, and large subunit ribosomal RNA
Rfam family: 5.8S ribosomal RNA (bases 1-120)
Source: RNAcentral
GAUGAAGAACGUAGCGAAAUGCGAUAAGUAAUGUGAAUUGCAGAAUUCCGUGAAUCAUCGAAUCUUUGAACGCACAUUGCGCCCCCUGGCAUUCCGGGGGGCAUGCCUGUCCGAGCGUCAUUUCUGCCCUCAAGCCCGGCUUGUGUGUUGGGCGUGGUCCCCCCGGUUUAGGGGGGACCUGCCCGAAAGGCAGCGGCGACGUUCCGCCUAGGUCCUCGAGCGUAUGGGGCUUUGUCACCCGCUCGGGAGGGGCCUACGGGCGUUGACCAUCCACCAUUUAUUUUUUUUACGGUUGACCUCGGAUCAGGUAGGAGUUACCCGCUGAACUUAAGCAUAUCAAUAAGCGGAGGA